AAUUCUCAACCUCACCUGGUUUUCGAACUUGUGUGAUGGCUUGGACUUGGGAGUUUUGCAGGCUGCAGUUUACUGCGGCUCUGCUCUCCUUAAAUGUAUUAGCAGGUCUUUUACCUCUAUCCCAACGGUGUGAUAAUCUAUCUACGCUGCUGGUUUGGAGACCCUUAACCGGGGGACUGGCUUCUAACCGUCUGCAAAGACAAAUGAUAAC
RNAcentral lists this unclassified non-coding RNA (211 nucleotides) under Parasola hercules. Its description in RNAcentral is "partial internal transcribed spacer 2". The record is from RNAcentral. Lineage: Eukaryota; Fungi; Basidiomycota; Agaricomycetes; Agaricales; Psathyrellaceae.